This 460-nucleotide ribosomal RNA is filed under the name uncultured bacterium. Its description in RNAcentral is "partial 16S ribosomal RNA". It matches the Rfam family "Bacterial small subunit ribosomal RNA", at positions 338 to 795 of the family's 1533-position model. The record is from RNAcentral.
CCUACGGGAGGCAGCAGUGAGGAAUAUUGGUCAAUGGGCGGGAGCCUGAACCAGCCAAGUCGCGUGAGGGAAGACGGUCCUACGGAUUGUAAACCUCUUUUGCCGGGGAGCAACGGGGUCCUUGCGAGGGACCGAUGAGAGUACCCGGAGAAAAAGCAUCGGCUAACUCCGUGCCAGCAGCCGCGGUAAUACGGAGGAUGCGAGCGUUAUCCGGAUUUAUUGGGUUUAACGGGUGCGUAGGCGGGCUGUUAGGUCAGCGGUAAAAUGUUGGGGCUCAACCCCGGCCUGCCGUUGAAACUGGCGGCCUCGAGUGGGCGAGAAGUAUGCGGAAUGCGUGGGGUAGCGGUGAAAUGCAUAGAUAUCACGCAGAACUCCGAUUGCGAAGGCAGCAUACCGGCGCCCGACUGACGCUGAGGCACGAAAGCGUGGGUAUCGAACAGGAUUAGAUACCCUUGUAGUC